Molecule: ribosomal RNA, 319 nt
Filed under: uncultured eukaryote
Lineage: Eukaryota
Description: partial 18S ribosomal RNA
Rfam family: Eukaryotic small subunit ribosomal RNA
Source: RNAcentral
CCCUUAGAUGUUCUGGGCUGCCCGCGCGCUACACUGAUGCAUCCAACAAGUUUUUUCCUUGUUCGAGAGGACUAGGUAAUCUUAUGAGAAUGCAUCGUGAUGGGGAUAGAUUAUUGCAAUUAUUAAUCUUCAACGAGGAAUUCCUAGUAAGCGCGAGUCAUCAGCUCGUGCUGAUUACGUCCCUGCCCUUUGUACACACCGCCCGUCGCUGCAACUGAUUGGGUGACCUGGUGAACAUCUUGGACCGGCCCACUCAAUUUCGAGAGGACUGGAAAAGGCCGUAAAUCAGGUACAUCUAGAAAUUGCAAAAGUCGUAACA